RNAcentral lists this long non-coding RNA (1668 nucleotides) under Pandoravirus neocaledonia. RNAcentral describes it as "hypothetical ncRNA". The record is from RNAcentral.
CCCUGAGCACGCCGUAGCCGUGCGGUAGUGGAGGCUUCCACCAUCGCCCUGAUACAGGUUGCCACACUCGCCCAUGGUAAACGGCGCGCCGCUUGUCGCCACCAUAGCCGUGUCGCAUAAUGAUAGAUAGCGUUGCCACGCAAAAGCGAGUCUCCCUAUCUGGAUUGAUGGUCAUGGUCGUGCGCGCCCGAUAAAGCCACGACCAAUCAGCACCCCACCGUGCGGGAUCGGCGUGAGGCAACGCGUCGGGCAGCGCCACAUAGUCGUCUUUGUCCAAGUCUGCCCUGGUCCCAACGCAACCACUGAGCGACUCGCACACGCACUUCUAUGCUGCCCUUGGACGCGAGAUGCUGUCGGUGGGCGCGGCGGCAUCGACAGCGCAUGUGGGUGAUAUGUUUGUAUGCGCCAAACCAUUUGCCCGCUCCCCUCGACGCAAAAGGGCGUCAUCUCGCUGCUUUCCCAACAUACACAGACAACAGUGCGCAGUGCCGGCAACGCAAUCAGGUUAUUCCUUUUUUUUUAAACGUGGGCGCACCACACGGUCCAGCGAUCUCAGUUGCCCGUUGCACAUAUCGGCCUCGCCCUAACAAGACAGAUAAGCGCGCAGGUAGGCCGUACACGGCGAUUCUAUGUCGACGAUGGCGGUCGCAACCUUGUUCCUGUGGGUCCACAAGGGUGCGCCGUGUCGACUCCUAAGGACGUCCUCGCGGAGCGUGCUAUCGAGCCACGGCGUGUCGGCCUCGCACAUGUAGGCCAAGCACGCGAGUCGGUCGUAUAGGAUGGCCUCUAAAAAUCGAUCAGGAUUCCAGCGGUAGCCUCUUCCAUAUAGGUAGCCCAGGCAAUCGAGAUGACCGCCGGCGAUUGCGUUUCUCGCCGCGCGUCCUCCUACAAGACAUCCCCCGUCGACCGCGUAACGCAAGCAGCCGAUAUGACCGCCAGCCGCAGCGCUGGCCGGCGUGCGCCAAUCCCACGGGCAUCCAUGUUGGCGCGCAUAUUGCAGACACGCAAUGUGUCCUCGCGAUGCGGCCUCGGCGCACGUGCGCUCGUCCCAAUGACACCCGUGCUUGUGCGCGUAUUCGAGGCAAUCGAGGUGGCCACCUCGCGCGGCGUUGGCGCAGACGUUGGCUCGCCAUGCGUAGCCUCGUUCGUGCAUCUCCUUGAGACACAUAAGAUGACCAUGACGUGCGGCUGUCGCGCACCGCCGCGCGCGUCUCCUGGUAUGGAAUUUGGUGCACUGCCCGCGCCACGGCGACGUGGGGUCAAGCCCGAUGCGGCGCCACCUCGCGCAGACACCGACGACGCUCGUGGCGCGCGUGGCGCACGUCAUGAAAGAAAAGAUGUGCUGCAAGAUUUCGUCUGGCAGGUCGGGCGAUCGCGAGGUUGUUGAUUCAUGCGCGCCGCUGGCCGUUCCGUCUGCGUCCAUGGUGUGUCGCGUAUGGGCGGGCCAGGCAACACCGACGCCCGCACUCCCAUAUCUGCUCUUGCGAUCUCGCGAUCGAUGCCACUGGCCGCAGCCAUGGAGUCGUCGGCGUUUCCACACCAGACCGCCCAACCACGCCGUGGUGCAGGCGCCGACGACAGGGGAAGAGAGGGCGGCGUGUCAAUCCAAUGAGAAUUUGUGCGUUUGGCGCGUGGGUAUAUUUUUUUUUUCAUUGGAUAAAACUGCGC